AGCCUAACACAUGCAAGUCGAACGGCAGCACAGGAGAGCUUGCUCUCUGGGUGGCGAGUGGCGGACGGGUGAGGAAUACAUCGGAAUCUACUUUUUCGUGGGGGAUAACGUAGGGAAACUUACGCUAAUACCGCAUACGACCUACGGGUGAAAGCAGGGGAUCUUCGGACCUUGCGCGAUUGAAUGAGCCGAUGUCGGAUUAGCUAGUUGGCGGGGUAAAGGCCCACCAAGGCGACGAUCCGUAGCUGGUCUGAGAGGAUGAUCAGCCACACUGGAACUGAGACACGGUCCAGACUCCUACGGGAGUGCAGCAGUGGGGAAUAUUGGACAAUGGGCGCAAGCCUGAUCCAGCCAUACCGCGUGGGUGAAGAAGGCCUUCGGGUUGUAAAAGCCCCUUUUGUUGGGAAAGAAAUCCAGCUGGCUAAUACCCGGUUGGAAUGACGGUUACCCAAAGAAUAAGCACCGGCUACCUUCGUGCCAGCAGCUGCGGUAAUACGAAGGGUGCAAGCGUUACUCGGAAUUACCUGGGCGUAAAGCGUGCGUAGG
RNAcentral lists this ribosomal RNA (546 nucleotides) under uncultured bacterium. RNAcentral describes it as "bacterial SSU rRNA". It matches the Rfam family "Bacterial small subunit ribosomal RNA", at positions 45 to 575 of the family's 1533-position model. The record is from RNAcentral.